GACGAACCGGACAAACGUUAUUCGGAAUCAUUGGGCUUAAUGUGUGCGUAGGCGGACUUGUUGGUGAGGUGUGAAAUCCCACGGCUCAACCGUGGAACUGCGUUUCAAACCACAGGGCUUGAGUGAGGCAGAGGGAAGUGGAACUGAUGGUGGAGCAGUGAAAUGCGUAGAUAUGAGAAGGAACACCGGUGGCGAAGGCGGCUUAAUGGGAUUUGACUGACGCUGAGGCACGAAAGCUAGGGGAGCAAACGGG
RNAcentral lists this ribosomal RNA (253 nucleotides) under uncultured bacterium. RNAcentral's name for it is "partial 16S ribosomal RNA". It matches the Rfam family "Bacterial small subunit ribosomal RNA", at positions 524 to 776 of the family's 1533-position model. The record is from RNAcentral.